GAAAUGCGAUAAGUAAUGUGAAUUGCAGAAUUCAGUGAAUCAUCGAAUCUUUGAACGCAAAUUGCGCCCGCCAGUAUUCUGGCGGGCAUGCCUGUUCGAGCGUCAUUUCAACCAUCAAGCCCCCGGGCUUGUGUUGGGGACCUGCGGCUGCCGCAGGCCCCGAAAACCAGUGGCGGGCUCGCUGUCACACCGGGCGUAGUAGAUUUUUCGUCUCGCCCAGGGCGUGCUGCGGGUUCCGGCCGUUAAAAAGCCUCUCUUUUAACCCAAGGUUGACCUCGGAUCAGGUAGGAAGACCCGCUGAACUUAAGC
This 309-nucleotide unclassified non-coding RNA is filed under the name plant metagenome. RNAcentral's name for it is "partial contains 5.8S ribosomal RNA, internal transcribed spacer 2, and large subunit ribosomal RNA". The stretch from base 1 to 105 matches the Rfam family "5.8S ribosomal RNA", at positions 50 to 154 of the family's 154-position model. The record is from RNAcentral.